GGGUUUCUAGGCAAAGCAGUUUAACUGUAGUUAACAUGUGAAAAAUAGCCUAAUAAGGAUCUUCGUGGUAAAAUCAGAUGGAAAACGGGGAGGCAGAGUCGCGUCUCCAGCAGCUCAUUCGACGCGGCGGCUCCUCCGAGUUGUACAAUAAUCAUCAGUGCUGGCCCGGUGCCGCUGGAUUAUUUUGUAUAUUCAUGAAGGCCCUCAUCAGCCGUCAGGAGACUGUGCAGUAAUCCUUGGAUGAAAUAAGGCCAAUCAGAGCGAUAAUGAGGAAGGUCAAUUGCCCAGAGGCUUCUCCUCCUGUUUUCCAUCUAUUUAUAUACGUGGACCAUAAUAAGCCUCUUGGAACCAGAAGUUACUGGGCCUACAUAAACACCUGCUCUGGUUUUUUGUUUGUCUUUUACCCGAAAUCAGCAAAGUUUUUUUUUUUUUAAAUGAAUCUGCAAAACCAUGUCAAAGCUAUCAACUCAUGCAUGGAGUCGGAAAACAAAGGAGGAUUCUAAUAAUGUUUAUUUUCCUCUUUAUCAGAGACCCCCCCCCCAUACAAAAUCCCAAACCAAAAGAGGAGCCUAUAAAGGAAUGUCUAAACUGCUCACAGAGCUUUCUUUUCACAAAACGAGCGAGAAACCAUCAACAGGGCAGGGAAGGCAAACACGUCUGCCCCACACUGCUUGUGCUUUCUUGGGUCACAGAGACACAUCCGAGCAGGUCAUGGGCUGCUUCCACCGACAGAUGUCCUGAUGUGAAGGAGAGUACCACUGAAGAAAAUGCCUGAACUGCUAUUAUCUGCAUCCUUCAAGCGCUUGACAGGAUUACGACGUGCCGUUAACAUUAGCCUCAGCACAGUGUCUGGAUGAUCAGCCAUGCCUCUUGUAAAUGUCCCACAUAAACCCUGCAGGCCAUGGGCGGUCACCAUGUGAGAGACAGCAUGGCUCCAUCAGUUGGUUACUGCGGGAUUUCUGCAAAGUAUGGUUCAGAGGAUGUCAGGUCUGUUAGGACCCCUGGGCUGGGAGGGGAAAGGUAGAGGAGGGGUCAGUGACCAGCACAGGACAGAAAAGCAUCUUAAGCAAAUAUUGGAUUGUGAGCAUCGAAGAGAAACAACUCAAGAGGGCCUUCCAGCUGGCUCUAGCUGGCACCCGUUCAAUUCUUCCGGCCAUGAUGUGCCCACAAGAACGCCCCAGGAGAGAUGCUUCUGUAAGGGAGCAGCCACCAGCCACCUAAAUGAGGUCAACGGAAAGAAUGGAAAUAGUUGGAGCCUGGGGAUGACAUCAAACACUGGGUGGGUGAGGGGGAGAAAGGAGGUAUGUGGAGAGAGAGGCAGCCCAAGGGAGGCAGAGACAUGGAUGGGAGGAGUGACAGAAGGGCAGGACUUCAGGCUCUGCACCUCUUUCCGGGUGUUGUUGCCAGCCCUACUCCAACCCUGAGCCAUAAUCAACUUCCUUAAUGAAAUACGUAAUUAACAUAUUAUAAUUGUAGUAAAGAUGAUUU
Molecule: long non-coding RNA, 1488 nt
Filed under: Mus musculus (house mouse)
Lineage: Eukaryota; Metazoa; Chordata; Mammalia; Rodentia; Muridae
Description: predicted gene, 31621
Source: RNAcentral